CAAUUAGGUUCUUCAGCUAAUUAUUGGAUCUUAUAAAUGAUUCUUCAAAAAACAGCUACGAGGAUUAGGUUGUGCCUUUAUACGGAGCUCUGAGAAAGGAUUUCCAUGCAGCAAGAGGAGAAUCGCCAUGCGGAUUGCAAUUUCUUCUCUUCGGUGAGGGGAAGGGUCUGCAGCUCAUCUGUAUCAGUUCAACUUUACCACCAAGCCAGCUGGACAUAGGACACUUGUUCAUCUGUCCACAAGCAUAUCAGGAACUGGGGGCUCAUUUCUGGCAGCAGAACUGCACAUCCACAAAGCCCUGCCUUAUGCACAGAGACCUGUUGUUCCAAUGCCAUCUGCUUGUGUAUGAACGGUCAGAGGUAACAGGGUUCUCCUGCUGCGUGAGAAACUGUGUGGAUGAAUACAAGUGACACUAAGGGCAGGCAUCGUUCUCAUAAUGCGUGUCUUACAAGUGUUGGAGGUAGUCACUAUAACAACAGCGCCUCAAAUUUGUGUCCACUUGAACUGCUCCGUCUCUGUAAUCGCCGAGCAAGAAUGAGCAGCCAAAGAAGUGCCGAGUUUAUGCAAGCAAAACUGACCCAGCUGAUGCCAAGAGGAGCUGGAGAGCAGCAGCCCGUGCCCCACGCCUGCUCCGCGGAGCCCCGCGGGGAUGGGGCUGCGGUGCCCGGCUCCUGUCUGACUCGUUCUGCUCCCCUCCUGCUCCCUGCCUGCACAGCCGCAAGGUAUAGGGCAGAACUGAAGGCUUUUUUUUUUUUUUUCUUCCCCCCACUCCCUUUUUCUUUUUUAAUAACUUUAUCAACUCUGAACCCCAGGAUGAUUUGUGCGUUUCGCUCUCCCUGCGCUUUUACUCUCGGUUAG
Long non-coding RNA from Anser cygnoides (Swan goose), 858 nucleotides. The record is from Ensembl. Lineage: Eukaryota; Metazoa; Chordata; Aves; Anseriformes; Anatidae.